CCCCUAGAUGUUCUGGGCCGCACGCGCGCUACACUGAACAGUUCAACAAGUCUUAACCUUGGCCGAUAGGUCUGGGUAAUCUUUGAACGCUGUUCGUGAUUGGGAUAGACCUUUGCAAUUAUGGGUCUUCAACGAGGAAUUCCUAGUAAACGCAAGUCAUCAGCUUGCAUUGAUUACGUCCCUGCCCUUUGUACACACCGCCCGUCGCACCUACCGAUUGAAUGGUCCGGUGAAAUCUCGGGACGGCGGCUUGGUCGCUUGCGUCCGACUGCUGAAACUUGAUUAAACCAUAUCAUUUAGAGGAAGGUGAANUAGUAACA
RNAcentral lists this ribosomal RNA (320 nucleotides) under uncultured eukaryote. Its description in RNAcentral is "partial 18S ribosomal RNA". It matches the Rfam family "Eukaryotic small subunit ribosomal RNA", at positions 1470 to 1796 of the family's 1831-position model. The record is from RNAcentral.